AAGUCGUAACAAGGUUUCCGUAGGUAUGUUAUCAAUCCCUAAUUAUCCCACUGUUAAUUUAUUCAAAUACUAAUUAAAUUCCAGGUGAACCUGCGGAAGGAUCAUUACCGAGUAUUGGUUGCUGUUUUCAGCGCCAACUCCCACCCUUUGUGUACCAAAAUCUAUUCAUCUUUGGCGAAGCGUUUUAGCUCUGCUACAACCACUGAUAGUUUAUACUAUGAGUGAGUCUUCGCCAAAGUCAAGUCUCAAACACUUAUUUUAUUAAUAUUGUCUGAGAAAAUCGAGAAAUAAACAAAACUUUCAACAACGGAUCUCUUGGUUCUG
Molecule: unclassified non-coding RNA, 324 nt
Filed under: fungal sp.
Lineage: Eukaryota; Fungi
Description: partial internal transcribed spacer region
Source: RNAcentral